CUGACCUCGAAUCAGGUGGGACUACCCGCUGAACUUAAGCAUAUCAAUAAGCGGAGGAAAAGAAACUAACAAGGAUUCCCCUAGUAACGGCGAGUGAAGUGGGAUGAGCUCAAAUUUAAAAUCUGGUAGUCUUUGGCAGCCUGA
Molecule: ribosomal RNA, 144 nt
Filed under: Hydnum albidum
Lineage: Eukaryota; Fungi; Basidiomycota; Agaricomycetes; Cantharellales; Hydnaceae
Description: partial 28S ribosomal RNA
Rfam family: Eukaryotic large subunit ribosomal RNA
Source: RNAcentral